AUCGAUAACGAACGAGACCUUGACCUGCUAAAUAGCCCGUUCGACUUUGGUUGGACGCUGGCUUCUUAGAGGGACUUUUGGCUCAAGCCAAUGGAAGUACGAGGCAAUAACAGGUCUGUGAUGCCCUUAGAUGUCCUGGGCUGCACGCGCGCUACACUGACAGAGCCAGCGAGUACAUCACCUUGGCCGAAAGGUCUGGGUAAUCUUGUUAAACUCUGUCGUGCUGGGGAUAGAGCAUUGCAAUUAUUGCUCUUCAACGAGGAAUGCCUAGUAAGCGCAAGUCAUCAGCUUGCGUUGACUACGUCCCUGCCCUUUGUACACACCGCCCGUCGCUAAUACCGAUUGAAUGGUUG
This 353-nucleotide ribosomal RNA is filed under the name Eukaryota sp. RNAcentral's name for it is "SSU rRNA". It matches the Rfam family "Eukaryotic small subunit ribosomal RNA", at positions 1324 to 1699 of the family's 1831-position model. The record is from RNAcentral.